AUUGAACGCUGGCGGCAUGCCUUACACAUGCAAGUCGAACGGUAACGGGCCUUCGGGUGCCGACGAGUGGCGGACGGGUGAGUAAUACAUCGGAACGUGCCCGAUCGUGGGGGAUAACGUGGCGAAAGCUUUGUUAAUACCACAUACGAUCUACGGACCAAAGCCGGGGACCGCAAGGGCUUGCGUGGGCGGAGGGGGCGGUGGGCGCGUCGGUGGAUUGUGGGAUAAACGCUUAGCAAGCCGACGAUCUGUAGCUGUACUGAGAGGAGGAUCAGCCACACUGGGACUGAGACACGGCCCAGACUCCUACGGGAGGCAGCAGAGGGGAAUGGUGGACAAUGGGCGCAAGCCUGGUACAGCCAUGGCGCGUGCAAGAUGAAGGCCUUCGGGUUGUAAACUGCUUUUGUACGGAACGAAAAGCCUUCGUUUAAGACAGGAGGGUCAUGACGGUACCGUAAGAAUAAGCACCGGCUAACUACGUG
Molecule: ribosomal RNA, 482 nt
Filed under: uncultured bacterium
Lineage: Bacteria
Description: partial 16S ribosomal RNA
Rfam family: Bacterial small subunit ribosomal RNA
Source: RNAcentral